RNAcentral lists this ribosomal RNA (200 nucleotides) under uncultured bacterium. RNAcentral describes it as "partial 16S ribosomal RNA". It matches the Rfam family "Bacterial small subunit ribosomal RNA", at positions 28 to 231 of the family's 1533-position model. The record is from RNAcentral.
GAUGAACGCUAGCGGCAGGCUUAACACAUGCAAGUCGAGGGGUAUAUUUCUUCGGAGAUAGAGACCGGCGCACGGGUGCGUAACGCGUAUGCAAUCUACCUUUUACAGAGGGAUAGCCCAGAGAAAUUUGGAUUAAUACCUCAUAGUAUAUAGACACGGCAUCGAGAUUAUAUUAAAGUCACAACGGUAAAAGAUGAGCA